This 385-nucleotide long non-coding RNA is filed under the name Haliotis rubra (blacklip abalone). RNAcentral's name for it is "uncharacterized LOC124270476, transcript variant X2". The record is from RNAcentral. Lineage: Eukaryota; Metazoa; Mollusca; Gastropoda; Lepetellida; Haliotidae.
GUUCUGUAGCAAGUCGGGUGAUCGGCUGUCACCCACGGGCCUAAUUAGCAGUCACGUCCCAGGUCUUCCCGGGUUCAUUCAUCCGGGCAGUUAUCAGCACCCUCUGGUGAGAGAACAAAGACGGAGUACCGCCGUUUGUAGUCCCUUGGUCGUUACAGAGAUAAGGUGUAUUAUUCUUUGUGUCCGUGUCAGUGGCGACACAUACUUGAGGGCGGAUGUCUAUGAUGUGUGACUCUUUGUUGAAGCCUCUUAACAACCUGCUUAUGUAAUUGCUGCGAUGUUCCUUUUGUAGAGUCCCGGUGCUAACGACCCGACAAGUAGAACCGAAAGGUGACUGACAGGUCGUUGCUGGAAAUAGGAAAUAAAAAAGAUGGUUUAAAAUUGA